CCUCACCAAACAGUCAUACAUUUCCUCACUCAUUAGUUCAUUUGACACCUUUAACUCUCUUCUUCCCCCUGCUGUGGCCAUCCUCCAAACUAACCUUACAGCCGAUAGCUUAGCAUGCUACUUUACUGACACGAGGAAAGAAUUCUCCCUUCCUUGCCAUUCUCUUCCUCAACCACACGUAGAUCAUGCCUUUCCAACCCUUCAGACAUUCUCCCAGGCUACUGAACAAGAGGUGGCUGGGCUUCUCCUU
This is a non-coding RNA of Pelobates cultripes (western spadefoot toad), 250 nucleotides long. Lineage: Eukaryota; Metazoa; Chordata; Amphibia; Anura; Pelobatidae. The record is from the annotation of a GenBank genome assembly.